RNAcentral lists this ribosomal RNA (779 nucleotides) under Mammaliicoccus sciuri. RNAcentral's name for it is "bacterial SSU rRNA". It matches the Rfam family "Bacterial small subunit ribosomal RNA", at positions 44 to 804 of the family's 1533-position model. The record is from RNAcentral. Lineage: Bacteria; Bacillati; Bacillota; Bacilli; Caryophanales; Staphylococcaceae.
GUGCCUAAUACAUGCAAGUCGAGCGAACAGAUGAGAAGCUUGCUUCUCUGAUGUUAGCGGCGGACGGGUGAGUAACACGUGGGUAACCUACCUAUAAGACUGGGAUAACUCCGGGAAACCGGGGCUAAUACCGGAUAAUAUUUUGAACCGCAUGGUUCGAUAGUGAAAGACGGUUUCGGCUGUCACUUAUAGAUGGACCCGCGCCGUAUUAGCUAGUUGGUAAGGUAACGGCUUACCAAGGCGACGAUACGUAGCCGACCUGAGAGGGUGAUCGGCCACACUGGAACUGAGACACGGUCCAGACUCCUACGGGAGGCAGCAGUAGGGAAUCUUCCGCAAUGGGCGAAAGCCUGACGGAGCAACGCCGCGUGAGUGAUGAAGGUCUUCGGAUCGUAAAACUCUGUUGUUAGGGAAGAACAAAUUUGUUAGUAACUGAACAAGUCUUGACGGUACCUAACCAGAAAGCCACGGCUAACUACGUGCCAGCAGCCGCGGUAAUACGUAGGUGGCAAGCGUUAUCCGGAAUUAUUGGGCGUAAAGCGCGCGUAGGCGGUUUCUUAAGUCUGAUGUGAAAGCCCACGGCUCAACCGUGGAGGGUCAUUGGAAACUGGGAAACUUGAGUGCAGAAGAGGAGAGUGGAAUUCCAUGUGUAGCGGUGAAAUGCGCAGAGAUAUGGAGGAACACCAGUGGCGAAGGCGGCUCUCUGGUCUGUAACUGACGCUGAUGUGCGAAAGCGUGGGGAUCAAACAGGAUUAGAUACCCUGGUAGUCCACGCCGUA